This 283-nucleotide unclassified non-coding RNA is filed under the name Basidiomycota sp. RNAcentral's name for it is "partial contains small subunit ribosomal RNA, internal transcribed spacer 1, and 5.8S ribosomal RNA". The stretch from base 1 to 46 matches the Rfam family "Eukaryotic small subunit ribosomal RNA", at positions 1786 to 1831 of the family's 1831-position model. The record is from RNAcentral. Lineage: Eukaryota; Fungi; Basidiomycota.
AAGUCGUAACAAGGUUUCCGUAGGUGAACCUGCGGAAGGAUCAUUAAUGAAUUUUGUCAGUGGGUUGAAGCUGGCGCCGUUACUGGCGCAUGUGCUCGCUCCUGCAUUCUUCUUAUCCAUACACCUGUGCACCUCUGGGGGUUUUUCUGAGAAGGGGUUUUCCGUGAGGAAGAUACUUGAUCGGGCCCUCGUUUUAUUAUAAACACUUGAUUGAUCUAUGAACGUGACUGUGCCGAAAGGCCAUAAUCUUAUACAACUUUUAACAACGGAUCUCUUGGCUCUC